Molecule: ribosomal RNA, 484 nt
Filed under: uncultured bacterium
Lineage: Bacteria
Description: partial 16S ribosomal RNA
Rfam family: Bacterial small subunit ribosomal RNA
Source: RNAcentral
AUUGAACGCUGGCGGCAGGCCUAACACAUGCAAGUCGAGCGGAUGAAGGGAGCUUGCUCCUGGAUUCAGCGGCGGACGGGUGAGUAAUGCCUAGGAAUCUGCCCGGUAGUGGGGGAUAACGUCCGGAAACGGGCGCUAAUACCGCAUACGUCCUGAGGGAGAAAGUGGGGGAUCUUCGGACCUCACGCUAUCAGAUGAGCCUAGGUCGGAUUAGCUAGUUGGUGGGGUAAAGGCCUACCAAGGCGACGAUCCGUAACUGGUCUGAGAGGAUGAUCAGUCACACUGGAACUGAGACACGGUCCAGACCCCUACGGGAGGCAGCAGUGGGGAAUAUUGGACAAAGGGCGAAAGCCUGAUCCAGCCAUGCCGCGUGUGUGAAGAAGGUCUUCGGAUUGUAAAGCACUUUAAGUUGGGAGGAAGGGCAGUAAGUUAAUACCUUGCUGUUUUGACGUUACCAACAGAAUAAGCACCGGCUAACUUCGUG